GCAACACUAAAGACACCUCCUCCACCUUCGUGGGGCUUGCCACCUCGCUUAGGAAGGCAGCCCAGCAGAAAACAACAGAAGGUGCAAGGAAUGAGGCCCCUGUGUUCUACAGGAGACCCUGGAGGCCCCGGGGCUCAAGGAGGGCUUGGCAGAGUAUUCCAGCUGGAACAACACAACAUUAGAGGAUCUCCAGGGCAGGUCUGGGGGUCUGCCCUCCUGCGCAGGGCGGCACUGCGUGGCUCCCAGGACCAGGAGCUGUGCUCGCUCUGGAGACAAUGAAAAGAGAAGAUAUUCUGCAGGCCCUGAACAUGCUCUGAUUAAAGGCAGAAGGCUACUUUGAACUCAGGACCUCAGGUCUCAGGCCCGGAAACUUCUGACACUGUCCGCCACCUUCUGCCCCACCUGCACUUCUAUCCCCCCGCCUUAUUGGAAGAGCUCUCUUCAGGCGAGCACGACAGCUCAAUGAUGUGGACUCAGAUAAACUUAGAUCAUGUGCCUCUUUAUUCUGCCACGUACUGGGCUUUGGUCAAGUCCCCUCACUUCUCUGAGAUUGUCUCCUUAAGUGUGAAAUGGGACAAUAACACCCACCUCCCAGGAGAACAUGCAAAAACCCCAGCCAUGGCUCGCUGCAGUCUUCAGCGACUGGGAGCUCUGUACUGUUGGAGCAAACCCCAGCCUUCAGGCGCCCGCCUCACCUCAUAGAUGUUGAAUUGGCUCUGCCCGCGCGCCAGCUCCCGGUAGCUGGUGGUGAACUCUCCAAUGAAGUCAUGGCUGCAAGGGAAGGUUGCGGCUGAGACCACGAGGCCCCGGCGGUGCGCUGCCUCUGCCCAUCCUCCCACCUCUCACAUCCCUUCCCCUGGCUCCCAGUUCUGCCCGGGACUUCUGCCCCGGGGGGACACACCAGCAGAGAGGGCGGGUCCCUGGGAAGAGUCCAGUGUCCCCCAUGGAGCAAGAAACUCCACAGUCACCCAGCAAGAAGCAGGGUCCUGGAGAAUGGGACCCACUUCUAUGUGGAUUCUUACGUGAACAAACAGCAACAGAAGGUAUUUUGGGGACAAAUGGGGGAAUUGAAUAUGAAAUGAAUAUUAGAUGGUAUUCAAGAAUUAUUGUUCAACGUGUCAGGUGCGAUAAUGACAUUUGUAGCUAUGUAGAAAAAUGUCCCUAUUUUUUACACGUCCCCAGUGAGAUAUUUAGAGGUAACAAUGCCAUCAUGUCUGUAACUUAAACUACAUCAGCAAAGCAUAGAUAAAGCAACUAUGGCAACAAUAUGUAACGCUUGCUAGAUUCAGGUCAUAGGCUAAAUCUAAUAGUGUUCAUAAAACUCCUCUCUGCUUUUCUGUGUAUUUGACAUUUUUCCAAUAACAUUUUUUGAAAAGACAA
Hippopotamus amphibius kiboko is the source of this 1380-nucleotide long non-coding RNA. RefSeq lists it as uncharacterized. The transcript is spliced from 3 exons. The record is from RefSeq and is a predicted model, not a curated record. Lineage: Eukaryota; Metazoa; Chordata; Mammalia; Artiodactyla; Hippopotamidae.